Molecule: ribosomal RNA, 494 nt
Filed under: uncultured bacterium
Lineage: Bacteria
Description: partial 16S ribosomal RNA
Rfam family: Bacterial small subunit ribosomal RNA
Source: RNAcentral
GACGAACGCUGGCGGCGCGCUUAACACAUGCAAGUCGAACGGAAAGGCCUGCUUUCCCUUGUGGAUUGCGGGUACUCGAGUGGCGAACGGGUGAGUAACACGUGAGUGAUCUGCCCCCAACUUGGGUAUAAGCCUGGGAAACUGGGUCUAAUUCCCGAUAGGACUGCAGGGUGGUGCCUGUGGUGGAAAACGAUUUUCUAGUGGUUGGGGAUGAGCUCGCGGCCUAUCAGCUUGUUGGUGGGGUAAUGGCCUACCAAGGCGGCGACGGGUAGCCGGCCUGAGAGGGUGGACGGCCACAUUGGGACUGAGAUACGGCCCAGACUCCUACGGGAGGCAGCAGUGGGGAAUAUUACACAAUGGGCAGAAGCCUGAUGCAGCGACGCCGCGUGGGGGAUGACGGCCUUCGGGUUGUAAACUCCUUUCGACCGCGAGGAAGCCACCUGGUUGGAAGGGUGGUGACGGUAGUGGUAGAAGAAGCACCGGCUAACUACGUG